GGACCCUAACGGCAUCGCUGAACAGAGCCUGGCUUUGGUUUAGCUUGUAAGAAGAUGUUUUUUUUUUUAGCUAUUAAUUGCUAGACCGCUAAAUGUUUCCGGUGAAUAACGUGGACGAGGAUCCAUUGUUGGUCACAUUAACUUGCUACUAUCGCACGCGCCGUGUGUAACCAAGGAAACCAUUCUGCUGAUGGCAAAUAAACAAAUGAAUUAAUAAAAUUAAGCAAUUUAGUGAUGACAACCAAGCUGGGGACUGCAGGCCCAGACGCACUCGGCUCUUGCAAGAGAGGUGCUAAAUUUUCUCUGUCCACCUCUCCAAUCACAGGCUCAUGCCAUAGCUGUGAGUCAUGGCCUAGAGGAGCUGGAGGGGGCUCAGAUCUCCCACAGCCUGGCCCUCAUCCUUUCUGUUGCAGCAGAACCCCAUCACAAUGUGCCUGAAAUCCAGAGAUCCUUGUAUGGGCGUCAGCACAAGAAGACCAAAGCAGUAAAAAAAAAAGCUGUGGACAUGCUGGCUAGGGCACCAGAGGUGGCUGAGAAGAAAGGUAAAAGGAAAACGACCUCUAAUCUUUCCACUUGUACCAUCCAGUGGUAAUAAUUAAAACUUCAU
Maylandia zebra (zebra mbuna) is the source of this 607-nucleotide non-coding RNA. NCBI's taxonomy places the organism in Eukaryota, Metazoa, Chordata, Actinopteri, Cichliformes, Cichlidae. The record is from RefSeq and is a predicted model, not a curated record.